GUGCUUGCUUCUGUAGCACAUACAUUAAAAUUGCAAUGAUACAGAGAAGGUUAUCUUGGCCCCUGCACAAGAUGUCAUAGACUGAACUUCAGAAUUAAAGAUGUAGU
This is a small nuclear RNA of Suricata suricatta (meerkat), 107 nucleotides long. NCBI's taxonomy places the organism in Eukaryota, Metazoa, Chordata, Mammalia, Carnivora, Herpestidae. The record is from Ensembl.